CACCUGGUUGAUCCUGCCAGUAGUCAUAUGCUUGUCUCAAAGAUUAAGCCAUGCAUGUCUAAGUAUAAGCUUUAAACGGCGAAACUGCGAAUGGCUCAUUAAAACAGUUAUAGUUUAUUUGGUGAUCGAUUACUAUUUGGAUAACCGUAGUAAUUCUAGAGCUAAUACAUGCGUCAAGGCCCGACUUCGGAAGGGCUGCGUUUAUUAGAUACAGAACCAACCUAGGCUCCGCCUAGUCCUUGUUGGUGAUUCAUAAUAACCCGGCGAAUCGCACGGCUUGUCCGGCGAUGGACCAUUCAAGUUUCUGACCUAUCAGCUAUGGACGGUAGGGUAUUGGCCUACCGUGGCGUUGACGGGUAACGGGGAAUUAGGGUUCGAUUCCGGAGAGGGAGCCUGAGAAACGGCUACCACAUCUAAGGAAGGCAGCAGGCGCGCAAAUUACCCAAUCCUGAUACAGGGAGGUAGUGACAAGAAAUAACAAUACAGGGCAAUUCUGUCUUGUAAUUGGAAUGAGUAGAUUUUAAAUCUCUUUACGAGUAUCAAUUGGAGGGCAAGUCUGGUGCCAGCAGCCGCGGUAAUUCCAGCUCCAAUAGCGUAUAUUAAAGUUGUUGCGGUUAAAAAGCUCGUAGUUGGAUUUCUGCCUUGGGCGACCGAUCCACCUUUCCUACGGGAUUGUUGGUAUCAGUUUGACCUUGGCUUUUUCUUGGAUCGUGCUCACGUACUUAAC
RNAcentral lists this non-coding RNA (727 nucleotides) under Perkinsus marinus ATCC 50983. RNAcentral describes it as "Eukaryotic small subunit ribosomal RNA". It matches the Rfam family "Eukaryotic small subunit ribosomal RNA", at positions 1 to 731 of the family's 1831-position model. Lineage: Eukaryota; Perkinsozoa; Perkinsida; Perkinsidae. The record is from Rfam by way of RNAcentral.